RNAcentral lists this long non-coding RNA (271 nucleotides) under Lathyrus oleraceus (garden pea). Its description in RNAcentral is "Pisum sativum (pea) long non-coding RNA (PSAT_LNC003152)". The record is from RNAcentral. Lineage: Eukaryota; Viridiplantae; Streptophyta; Magnoliopsida; Fabales; Fabaceae.
GCUUUUUUUUUAAAAUUUUUUUUUACCCUUUUAUAAAACUCACUUUUCCAAGUUUCUAAUCAACUUUUCACUAUACUCUCCCCAACUUUAGAUUCCAAAACCAAAUUUAUUCAAAAAUGCUCCCUACUUAGAAAUAAGUAAAAGGCAAAAUUUGCAAACAACUCGAUUUGGGGUUCCAAUUGGUACGAAAGAAAUUAGGAUUCAUUUAUUCCACGAUUUUCAAUGAUCAAUGAAAUGAAUCCUAAAAUAAGCUCAAAGGGGUUUAACUAAG